GUCGAGCGGAGAUUUGAAAAGCUUGCUUUUCAAAUCUUAGCGGCGGACGGGUGAGUAACACGUGGGCAACCUGCCCUUGAGACGGGGAUAACUCCGGGAAACCGGAGCUAAUACCGGAUAACACAUAUCUUCGCAUGAUGAUAUGUUAGAAGGUGGCUUUUAGCUACCACUCAAGGAUGGGCCCGCGGCGCAUUANCUAGUUGGUGAGGUAACGGCUCACCAAGGCGACGAUGCGUAGCCGACCUGAGAGGGUGAUCGGCCACACUGGGACUGAAACACNGCCCAGACUCCUACGGGAGGCAGCANUAGGGAAUCUUCCNCAAUGGACGAAAGUCUGACAGAGCNCCGCCGAGNGAGNGAUGAAGGUAUUCGNAUCUGCGCUCUCUG
Molecule: ribosomal RNA, 387 nt
Filed under: Priestia endophytica
Lineage: Bacteria; Bacillati; Bacillota; Bacilli; Caryophanales; Bacillaceae
Description: Bacillus endophyticus partial 16S ribosomal RNA
Rfam family: Bacterial small subunit ribosomal RNA
Source: RNAcentral